Molecule: transfer RNA, 72 nt
Filed under: Sphaerodactylus townsendi
Lineage: Eukaryota; Metazoa; Chordata; Lepidosauria; Squamata; Sphaerodactylidae
Description: tRNA-Ala
Rfam family: tRNA
About the family: Transfer RNA (tRNA) molecules are approximately 80 nucleotides in length. Their secondary structure includes four short double-helical elements and three loops (D, anti-codon, and T loops).
Source: RNAcentral
GGGAGUGUGGCUUAGUGAUAGAGCAUCUGCUUGGCAUGCUGAAGGCACCGGGUUCAACCCUCAGCAUCUCCA